UAAUUAUUUAAGUUGUUCGAAAGCAGUCUUACAAAAGUUCAAAUAACAUAUGCUGACGUAAGUUAAAUACUCUAAUCAAUCUAACUAAAAUGCUAAUAACUGAUGGAAUCAUCGGAACAUCUAACACACUCCCCAAUCCAGUGCGAUCAAGCCUCUAGAUCUGAAAAACAGAGAAAAUAAAAUAAUGAGCUACACUAGCCCAGUAAGCAACAAAAUACCCCAAAAUGGGGUUAGAGCAUAUCAGAUCAAAAUAUAGGAUAAUGUCUGAAAUAAAUCAUAAAUAACAUUGUUUUACUGUUUUCAAAACUUAUUAUCAUUUUUCCAAAAACUCUGAUACCAAAAUCUCAACAUAAUAGGCUACGGCUACGUAACCCAGUGGCAUGAGUUGCACAAGGUGCCAAACACCACUAUUAUUAAGCACCGGUGGUACAGUAUCCAAAUACCACUAUUCUAAUCACCGGUGGUACGGUGUCGAAAUCGGUUCCUCACAUAUUACAAGUCGACAGGUCCAACGUAUAAUCCAUAUUGGCGGGGCCAGAACAGAACAGAACAGGUCAUAGCCAUGCUGAGAAUGCAUAUAUACAAAAAUAGAUUUCAUAAAUUGUCUAAUCAUAUUUUACGAAUUUCAGAGCAUAUAACAUAAUUUUCAAUAAAAUUUAACAUGCCUGACCCAUUUUACAGAAUACAAAAUAUAUAUCAAAUUUUAAUCAAUUUAUCAAAUAAUUUGAAAAUCAUACUUGAAGUAUUAAGUUACUUACCUCUUCUCGCUUAAUUCCUACUUCAGAUAGGUGGAUCAGGUUCACCUGUUUAAAUUUAAUUAAUUCCUUUGUUAAUUUCAGAGCUAAGCAAAACUUAAAUUAAUAUUAUUGGACACGGCCCAACAGGGUCCAGAGUUGGCCCAUAAUGGGCAUGGCCCGAUAGGGCCCACAUCGAACACGACCCAAUGGGCUCGCAUACCCCGGCCCAGUAAGGCCCCCAAGGUUGGAAUCUAAUUGGUUCAUUUAUGCAAUAAAAAUUCAUUGCAGGGACUAAUACUUAAUUACAGGGUACUGUUCUAUAAUAAAACUUGAGUAAAGAGACCAAACAAAUAUAUUUGAGGGCCUUUAUGUAAUAAAUCUUUCUUAUAGGGAUCAAACAUAAUUUACAGAAGGCUCUUUUGUAUAAUAAUAUAUUAUCAAGGGCUUAACUGUAAAAUUUUAUUUAUUGGCCAAACGGGUUCGGGUUUUGGGUUCCGACCUUCGGGUCUGAACUGGGUUUCAGAUUUCGAAUUUUGGGUCUGAACUGGGUUUCGAGUUUUCUUCUCUCUCUUUUUUUUGUUUCGGGUUUCGGGUUCGAACCGGGCCCAAGUUGGGCCUGCAGUGGAUAGGGCCCGUGAACAGGGCCCUUCUUCUUCCCCAAAUCCCCACGAAGAGGGAAAGAAGAAGAAGAGGAAGAAGGGACCGGCUGGGGGGGAGGGUCAGCCUAGGCGGCCGGGGGCUGUUGCCCGGCCGACUGCAGUGGCGGCCGGCGGCUGCUGCAGCGACGGGCGUCGAAGGAAAACCGAGUGAUCUCGGUUUGGGGCCAAAGCAAAGGAAGGAAAUCAAGCAUGUUCAGGCUAGAUCGAAGAGCAAAAAGGGAAAAGGGAUUACCAGCAGUCGAUGGAGAGGCAGAUCCUAGCCAUGGCUGCUCGAUCCGGUGGACAAGCGGUGGCGGUAGCAGUGCUCGGAACCGAGAGGAUGGAUCUCGGAACAGGGGGCAGGCCGCGAGAGGAAUCUGGAUGGCGCUCGGUCGGAAAGACACGCCGGUCACUCGGGAGGUAAAAACAGAGGAAGGAGAGGGAGGAAAGGGAGGAGAGGAAGAGGAUUCGGAGGUGGUCCUAGGAAAAAAUGGGGAUUUUUAUCACCGCCUUAUAACGGCUCUCCACCGCAUGAAUCGCGGCGACCGAGCGAAAUCCACGGCCAGGAUUGGCCGCGGAUUGACCGGAGGGGGGUGCCGCGGGAUACCUGCGGCGCCCUUGCCCUGUUUGUCCCCGGAGGAGCCGGAGAGGGUCGCCAUCGCGAUCCUCUGUUCCGGCUCUUCCCAAAAGAGGACGCGGCCGAAGUCGGCUGGGGCUGCCGACUUCAACCCGUAUCUCACAUUCUCUCUCCCUUAGUAAAAUUUCAUCCUCGAAAUUUAACAUACCUUAGCUUGCAAAAAGGCCCAAAUAUUUUUCCUUCAUCUUGUCCUCCAGUUCCCAUGUAGCCUCACGUUCUGAGUAAUUACUCCACUAGAUCUUAACAUAAGAAAUUGUGCACCUCCUCAACACUUGUUCUUUUCUAUCAACCACACGUACAGACUGCUUAAUGUGCAUAGCAGAGAACUCGAGGGAAAGUAUAAGCACCACUACCUAUGAAGCUAAAUUCAGUGUCUCUAGGGAUCUAAAAUUUUACCCGCUUUUCAUGGCAGUUAAUGGUAACAAAGCGUGACGCUAACCAGUCCAUACCGAGAAUUAUGUCAAAGUUAUACAUAUCUAUAAUUAUCAAAUCAGCAGGCAAGUUUCUACCUACUAUCUGAACUGGACAAGUCUUGCAGACCUGAUUACCAAUCAUCCCACUUCCGGCAGGGGUGUUAACAUGCAAAUCAUACUCUAACAGCACACAAGGUAGGUCAUGUUUUCGCACAAAAUCGAUGACACAAUGAAUGUGUAGCACCAGAAUCAAACAGUAUAUAAGCAUAAACAGAAGCAACCGGUAGUAUACCUGACACCACAGUAUUGGAUGCCUAAGCAUCCUGCUGAGUCAGUGCAUAAAUACGACCCAGUGUGCGCGGUCUUCCUCCUUUCUGCUGCUUAGGAGAAGAAGGCUGAACUGACCAAGCCGGAGCAGGAGAAGCUUGCACUUGCUGGGUUCUUGUAGUUUGAGGCCUCUGAACUGAUUGAGAGUCUUGCUGAUUAUAAGGGCACUCUUUAUCCUAUGACCUUGUUGGUCACAUUUGAAACAAGUGCCGAACAACCGUCUACAAAGUUCUGUCUUAUAGGUGCCUCCACAUGCUUCACAUUUAGGCUUCUCUUAUUGAAUAGUCUCUCCAUAAGAUCCCUGCUUUUCUGAUUGCCCAGACCUAUUACGAGAUUUUGCUGUCCUACUAGAAUUCUGUCCACUAUGAGUAUCAUCAUCUUUGCUCCUAUUCUUUUGUAUUUUAUCUUUUGAAUCUUGUGUUUCUUUCCAGACAAUUUUCAUAUUCUUGGCCCUGUCUACCAGGUCAUCAUAGUUUGUUGAGUGCACUACGGCCAAACCCCGAUGUAAGUGAGGCUUCAAUCCUUCUUCAAAUCUCCUCAUCCGGGACACUGCAUCCAUGACGAGGGUGGGAGCAAACUGAGNNNNNNNNNNNNNNNNNNNNAGUAUCAUCAUCUUUGCUCCUAUUCUUUGUAUUUUAUCUUUGAAUCUUGUGUUUCCUUCCAGACAAUUUUCAUAUUCUUGGCCCUGUCUACCAGGUCAUCAUAGUUUGUUGAGUGCACUACGGCCAAACCCCGAUGUAAGUGAGGCUUCAAUCCUUCUUCAAAUCUCCUCAUCCGGGACACUGCAUCCAUGACGAGGGUGGGAGCAAACUGAGAUAGCCUGUCAAACUCUGCCUCAUACUCAUCCACAGUCAUAGUUCCUUGAUUCAGAUUGAGAAAUUCCCUCUCUAGCUCCCUCAGGCGAUUGGAGGGAAAGUACUUGAAGUAGAAUGCUGUGCGGAAUCUCUGCCAGGUAAGUGCCUCCUGCUCAGGUGCCAAUGUGCACUCCACGACAUCCACCAAUGAUAAGCUCGGUCCUGAAGCAUAUAGAUGGCAAAUUUGACCUUCUCUUCAUCGGUGCACUCCAUUGCCCUGAAGGCUUUCUCCAUUUCAUCUAUCCAGGCUUCGGCAUCUUGAGGAUUAGUGAUGUCUUUAAAAGCCGAAGGAGCCAUUCUUUUGAAUUCUGCUAUGCUCCUUCUUUGCUCAGGAUGAGCAACAUCUUGCUGGAUGGGUUGCUGAGAUUGUUGCCUCGGUUGACGUACUAACCCAAUGACCUCCUCAAUCAGUUCGAGCACUCGAGUUUGAUUUCCGGCGGCAGUUUCUAGAGUUGAUUGGCCCUGAGGCCCUGAGCUAUGCGAUGCCUCGCCUUCUUGGUUAGUAGGGGCUCUUCCCCGAGAACCCCCAACCAUCUGAUUCAAGCUACGGACACGGCGAGGUGGCAUUCUGAUUCAGUGAAGAUAUAUACAUGUCAUAAAAUCAUCCAAACAGAAUAAUACGAAAUAGUUAGUAAAAUAAAAUACACAUUAUCUCCUUGUUUAGCUCCUACCCAUCUCUCAACCUUUCCGACGUAUCCUAGGAAUCCUAAAACUUAAGCUCCAUUUGACUAUUUCAAACACAAUCCCUAGGAAUCUGAAACCUGAGCUCUGAUACCACCAAAUCUGUCACACCCCAAGCCCGGAGCGCGGUAGACGCCGCACGCCCGCACGGCGGACCGCACAGGCGUGCAAGGCAACAGAUCAUAUCAAAGCAAAUACAAAUGCUUAAAGAUGACAUAAUUAUUUAAGUUGUUCGAAAGCAGUCUUACAAAAUUUCAAAUAACAUAUGCUGAUGUAAGUCAAAUACUCUAAUCAAUCUAACUAAAAUGCUAAUAACUGAUGAAAUCAUCGGAACAUCUAACGCACUCCCCAAUUCUGUGCGAUCAAGCCUCUGGAUCUAAAAAAUAGAGAAAAUAAAAUAAUGAGCUACACUAGCCCAGUAAACAAUAAAAUACCCCAAAGUGGGGUCAGAGCAUAUCAGAUCAAAAUGCAGGAUAAUGUCUGGAAUAAAUCAUAAAUAACAUUGUUUUACUGUCUUCAAAACUUAUUAUCAUUUUUUCAAAAACUCUGAUACCAAAAUCUCAACAUAAUAGGCUACGGCCACGUAACCCAGUGGCAUGGGUUGCACAAGGUGCCAAACACCACUAUUAUUAAGCACCGGUGGUACGGUGUCUAAAUACCACUAUUCUAAUCACCGGUGAUACAGUGUCGAAAUCGGUUCCUCACAGAUUACAAGUCGACAGGUCCAACGUAUAAUCCUCAUUGGCGGGGCCAGAACAGAACAGGUCAUAGCCAUGUUGAGAAUGCAUAUAUACAAAAAUAGAUUUCAUAAAUUGUCUAAUCAUAUUUUACGGAUUUUAGAGCAUAUAACAUAUUUUUCAAUAAAAUUUAACAUGCCUGACCCAUUUUACAGAAUACAAAAUAUAUAUCAAAUUUUCAUCAAUUUAUCAAAUAAUUUGGAAAUCAUACUUGAAGUAUUAAGUUACUUACCUCUUCUCGCUUAAUUCCUACUUCAGAUAGGCGGAUCAGGUUCACC
RNAcentral lists this long non-coding RNA (5302 nucleotides) under Phoenix dactylifera (date palm). RNAcentral describes it as "long non-coding RNA (PDAC_LNC001518)". Lineage: Eukaryota; Viridiplantae; Streptophyta; Magnoliopsida; Arecales; Arecaceae. The record is from RNAcentral.